UGGAUGAAAAUAAAAACAUUUGCAUCAAAAUCGCAGACCAGUGUCGCAGUGGAAGUUUCGCCAAAAAGCUAAUGCCGAAGAUCGGCAAAAAUUACAAGUAAAAAGAGAAAUAAGCCAAUCAGAGAAAUAAGCAAAAGCCAUGAAACCAAGCAGUCCACCAUCACGGGGUUUGCCACUGCAACGGAGAAAGUUCAACGCGAAUUCUGCGGUGCAAUAUCCUCCACAUCUCUGUACCCAAAUAGGUGCACUUCAUGACCAGCAGGUUCUCCGCUAUAUGGAAUUCACCCAGAUAAUGCCUCUGCAAAACAAACAUCCCCUGUCGGCUUGGACAUUUUGCUACGGGCACACAAUGUCCCUUCCUGUUUACAAGCAGCGGACCGCUUAUCAGCACCCGGUCACCCAAAGUCCCUAGUAAAGCUAAACAGAGCAUGUUGUUGCACCAGCGCAGGGUGAGUCGUUUGAGCCUCCGGGCAAUUCAGCCUCUGAGAGCCUCCGAACCAUUGAAUUAAGGAAGACAGAGCACCUUACCAACCAUUUCGUCAUCAGGCGUGGAACGAGUUUCUAUGAAAAAAUCGAGAUUUGGGGCUGAGACACAUGCACAACGAGAGAACCCGUUUCGUCGCACAGCAAGCGAGAAUGUCCGGCAGCAUUUCUACAGCACCGUUAUUCCUGACACUAAACGCGACACCUUCUGUUCGUGGUAUAAUACCAUGAAUGCGAUCAUACAUGUAAAAUAUGAUAGGACCUGAGAUAUAGGACCAAAGGUCCGAUGAAAAUAUACUUAUAACUGUU
Armigeres subalbatus is the source of this 792-nucleotide long non-coding RNA. RefSeq lists it as uncharacterized. NCBI's taxonomy places the organism in Eukaryota, Metazoa, Arthropoda, Insecta, Diptera, Culicidae. The transcript has 4 exons. The record is from RefSeq and is a predicted model, not a curated record.